This 335-nucleotide ribosomal RNA is filed under the name uncultured soil bacterium. Its description in RNAcentral is "bacterial SSU rRNA". It matches the Rfam family "Bacterial small subunit ribosomal RNA", at positions 26 to 353 of the family's 1533-position model. The record is from RNAcentral.
AGAGUGAACGCUGGCGGUAGGCCUAACACAUGCAAGUCGAACGGCAGCACAGUGGUAGCAAUACCAUGGGUGGCGAGUGGCGGACGGGUGAGGAAUACAUCGGAAUCUACCUUUUCGUGGGGGAUAACGUAGGGAAACUUACGCUAAUACCGCAUACGCCCUUUGGGGGAAAGCCGGGGAUCGCAAGACCUGGCGCGGAUAGAUGAGCCGAUGUCGGAUUAGCUAGUUGGUGAGGUAAUGGCUCACCAAGGCGACGAUCCGUAGCUGGUCUGAGAGGAUGAUCAGCCACACUGGAACUGAGACACGGUCCAGACCUCCGUAACGGGGAGGCAGCA